CCUACGGGUGGCAGCAGUGAGGAAUAUUGGUCAAUGGACGCAAGUCUGAACCAGCCAUGCCGCGUGCAGGAAGACUGCUCUAUGAGUUGUAAACUGCUUUUGUACGAGGGUAAACUCAGAUACGUGUAUCUUUCUGAAUGUAUCGUACGAAUAAGGAUCGGCUAACUCCGUGCCAGCAGCCGCGGUAAUACGGAGGAUUCAAGCGUUAUCCGGAUUUAUUGGGUUUAAAGGGUGCGUAGGCGGUCGGUUAAGUUAGAUGUGAAAUCCUGCGGCUCAACUUUGGAAUUGCCUCUGAUACUGGCAGGCUAGAGAGCAGUUGCGGUAGGCGGAAUGCAUGGUGUAGCGGUGAAAUGCUUAGAGAUCACACAGAACACCGAUUGCGAAGGCAGCCUACCAAGCUGCCUCUGACGUUGAGGCACGAAAGCGUGGGUAGCAAACAGGAUUAGAUACCCCAGUAGUC
Molecule: ribosomal RNA, 460 nt
Filed under: uncultured bacterium
Lineage: Bacteria
Description: partial 16S ribosomal RNA
Rfam family: Bacterial small subunit ribosomal RNA
Source: RNAcentral